RNAcentral lists this ribosomal RNA (427 nucleotides) under uncultured bacterium. Its description in RNAcentral is "bacterial SSU rRNA". It matches the Rfam family "Bacterial small subunit ribosomal RNA", at positions 355 to 774 of the family's 1533-position model. The record is from RNAcentral.
UGGGGAAUUUUGGACAAUGGGCGCAAGCCUGAUCCAGCCAUGCCGCGUGCGGGAAGAAGGCCUUCGGGUUGUAAAGCUCUUUUGUCAGGGAAGAAACGGUGAAGGCUAAUAUCCUUUGCUAAUGACGGUACCUGAAGAAUAAGCACCGGCUAACUACGUGCCAGCAGCCGCGGUAAUACGUAGGGUGCAAGCGUUAAUCGGAAUUACUGGGCGUAAAGCGUGCGCAGGCGGUUGUGUAAGUCAGAUGUGAAAUCCCCGGGCUCAACCUGGGAAUUGCAUUUGAGACUGCACGGCUAGAGUGUGUCAGAGGGGGGUAGAAUUCCACGUGUAGCAGUGAAAUGCGUAGAUAUGUGGAGGAACACCGAUGGCGAAGGCAGCCCCCUGGGUCAAGAUUGACGCUCAUGCACGAAAGCGUGGGGAGCAAACA